Molecule: ribosomal RNA, 253 nt
Filed under: uncultured bacterium
Lineage: Bacteria
Description: partial 16S ribosomal RNA
Rfam family: Bacterial small subunit ribosomal RNA
Source: RNAcentral
UACGAAGGGUGCAAACGUUGCUCGGAAUCAUUGGGCGUAAAGCGCACGUAGGCGGCUUCAAAAGUCGGAUGUGAAAUCCCGUGGCUCAACCAUGGACGUGCAUUCGAAACUGCGAAGCUUGAGUAUGGAAGAGGGUCGCGGAAUUCCCGGUGUAGAGGUGAAAUUCGUAGAUAUCGGGAGGAACACCAGUGGCGAAGGCGGCGACCUGGGCCAAUACUGACGCUGAGGUGCGAAAGCUAGGGGAGCAAACGGG